ACUCAAAUGAAUUGACGGGGGCCCGCACAAGCGGUGGAGCAUGUGGUUUAAUUCGAUGCAACGCGAAGAACCUUACCAAGGCUUGACAUCUCUUUGACCGGUAUAGAGAUAUACCCUCCCUUCGGGGCAGAGAUGACAGGUGGUGCAUGGUUGUCGUCAGCUCGUGUCGUGAGAUGUUGGGUUAAGUCCCGCAACGAGCGCAACCCUUAUCUUUAGUAGCCAGCAGGUUAAGCUGGGCACUCUAGAGAGACUGCCGUGGAUAACACGGAGGAAGGCGGGGAUGACGUCAAAUCAUCAUGCCCUUUAUGUCUUGGGCUACACACGUGCUACAAUGGCCGUUACAAAGUGAAGCAAACCGGCGACGGCAAGCCAAUCACAAAAAAGCGGCCCCAGUUCGGAUUACAGUCUGCAACCCGACUGUAUGAAGCUGGAAUCGCUAGUAAUCGCGAAUCAGCAUGUCGCGGUGAAUACGUUCCCGGGCCUUGUACACACCGCCCGU
RNAcentral lists this ribosomal RNA (499 nucleotides) under uncultured bacterium. Its description in RNAcentral is "bacterial SSU rRNA". It matches the Rfam family "Bacterial small subunit ribosomal RNA", at positions 899 to 1397 of the family's 1533-position model. The record is from RNAcentral.